CCUGAUGUAACCUUCACGCUCCGAAAACAAACCUGCCCCCAGGUCACCAUUAACAACACAAUAAUUCCUAACAAGGACUCAGUCAAAUACCUGGGCAUGACCCUGGACAGGAGGCUAACUUGGAAAAAUCACAUCACAGACAAAACGAAGCAACUCAAGGA
Bombus impatiens (common eastern bumble bee) is the source of this 161-nucleotide long non-coding RNA. RefSeq lists it as uncharacterized. The record is from RefSeq and is a predicted model, not a curated record. The transcript is spliced from 2 exons. Lineage: Eukaryota; Metazoa; Arthropoda; Insecta; Hymenoptera; Apidae.